CCUACGGGAGGCUGCAGUGAGGAAUAUUGGUCAAUGGGCGCGAGCCUGAACCAGCGAAGUCGCGUGAAGGAUGACUGCCCUACGGGUGGUAAACUUCUUUUAUAAAGGAAUAAAGUGAGUCACGUGUGCCGUUUUGUAUGUACUUUAUGACUAAGGAUCGGCUAACUCCGUGCCAGCAGCCGCGGUAAUACGGAGGUUCCGGGGGUUAUCCGGAUUUAUUGGGUUAAACGGGUGCGCAGGCGGACGAUAAAGUCAGCGGGAAAAUCGAGUGGCCAAACCUCGUAGAGCCGUUGAAACUGGGAGUCUUGAGUGAGAGAGAAGUAUGCGGAAUGCGUGGUGUAGCGGUGAAAUGCAUAGAUAGCACGCAGAACUCCGAUUGCGAAGGCAGCAUACUGGCGCUUAACUGACGCUGAGGCACGAAAGCGUGGGUAGCGAACAGGAUUAGAUACCCGUGUAGUC
RNAcentral lists this ribosomal RNA (459 nucleotides) under uncultured bacterium. RNAcentral's name for it is "partial 16S ribosomal RNA". It matches the Rfam family "Bacterial small subunit ribosomal RNA", at positions 338 to 795 of the family's 1533-position model. The record is from RNAcentral.